RNAcentral lists this ribosomal RNA (253 nucleotides) under uncultured bacterium. RNAcentral describes it as "partial 16S ribosomal RNA". It matches the Rfam family "Bacterial small subunit ribosomal RNA", at positions 524 to 776 of the family's 1533-position model. The record is from RNAcentral.
UACAGAGGGGGCGAGCGUUGUUCGGAAUUACUGGGCGUAAAGGGCGCGUAGGCGGCCCGCUAAGUCGAACGUGAAAUCCCCAGGCUCAACCUGGGAACUGCGUCCGAUACUGGCAGGCUUGAAUCCGGGAGAGGGAUGUGGAAUUCCAGGUGUAGCGGUGAAAUGCGUAGAUAUCUGGAGGAACACCGGUGGCGAAGGCGGCAUCCUGGACUGGUAUUGACGCUGAGGCGCGAAAGCUAGGGGAGCAAACGGG